This 85-nucleotide transfer RNA is filed under the name Candidatus Acetithermum autotrophicum. RNAcentral's name for it is "Candidatus Acetothermum autotrophicum tRNA-Tyr". It matches the Rfam family "tRNA". Rfam says of the family: Transfer RNA (tRNA) molecules are approximately 80 nucleotides in length. Their secondary structure includes four short double-helical elements and three loops (D, anti-codon, and T loops). RNAcentral also lists the same sequence under 5 other names. Lineage: Bacteria; Candidatus Bipolaricaulota. The record is from RNAcentral.
GCAGGGGUUCCGGAGCGGCCAAACGGGACGGACUGUAAAUCCGUUGGCCUGUGCGCCUACGGGGGUUCAAAUCCCUCCCCCUGCA